GGGUUGUGAGGUUAAGCGACUAAGCGUACACGGUGGAUGCCCUGGCAGUCAGAGGCGAUGAAGGACGUGCUAAUCUGCGAUAAGCGUCGGUAAGGUGAUAUGAACCGUUAUAACCGGCGAUUUCCGAAUGGGGAAACCCAGUGUGAUUCGUCACACUAUCAUUAACUGAAUCCAUAGGUUAAUGAGGCGAACCGGGGGAACUGAAACAUCUAAGUACCCCGAGGAAAAGAAAUCAACCGAGAUUCCCCCAGUAGCGGCGAGCGAACGGGGAGCAGCCCAGAGCCUGAAUCAGUGUGUGUGUUAGUGGAAGCGUCUGGAAAGGCGCGCGAUACAGGGUGACAGCCCCGUACACAAAAAUGCACAUGCUGUGAGCUCGAUGAGUAGGGCGGGACACGUGGUAUCCUGUCUGAAUAUGGGGGGACCAUCCUCCAAGGCUAAAUACUCCUGACUGACCGAUAGUGAACCAGUACCGUGAGGGAAAGGCGAAAAGAACCCCGGCGAGGGGAGUGAAAAAGAACCUGAAACCGUGUACGUACAAGCAGUGGGAGCCUCUUUAUGGGGUGACUGCGUACCUUUUGUAUAAUGGGUCAGCGACUUAUAUUCUGUAGCAAGGUUAACCGAAUAGGGGAGCCGAAGGGAAACCGAGUCUUAACUGGGCGUUAAGUUGCAGGGUAUAGACCCGAAACCCGGUGAUCUAGCCAUGGGCAGGUUGAAGGUUGGGUAACACUAACUGGAGGACCGAACCGACUAAUGUUGAAAAAUUAGCGGAUGACUUGUGGCUGGGGGUGAAAGGCCAAUCAAACCGGGAGAUAGCUGGUUCUCCCCGAAAGCUAUUUAGGUAGCGCCUCGUGAAUUCAUCUCCGGGGGUAGAGCACUGUUUCGGCAAGGGGGUCAUCCCGACUUACCAACCCGAUGCAAACUGCGAAUACCGGAGAAUGUUAUCACGGGAGACACACGGCGGGUGCUAACGUCCGUCGUGAAGAGGGAAACAACCCAGACCGCCAGCUAAGGUCCCAAAGUCAUGGUUAAGUGGGAAACGAUGUGGGAAGGCCCAGACAGCCAGGAUGUUGGCUUAGAAGCAGCCAUCAUUUAAAGAAAGCGUAAUAGCUCACUGGUCGAGUCGGCCUGCGCGGAAGAUGUAACGGGGCUAAACCAUGCACCGAAGCUGCGGCAGCGACACUAUGUGUUGUUGGGUAGGGGAGCGUUCUGUAAGCCUGCGAAGGUGUACUGUGAGGUAUGCUGGAGGUAUCAGAAGUGCGAAUGCUGACAUAAGUAACGAUAAAGCGGGUGAAAAGCCCGCUCGCCGGAAGACCAAGGGUUCCUGUCCAACGUUAAUCGGGGCAGGGUGAGUCGACCCCUAAG
Molecule: ribosomal RNA, 1362 nt
Filed under: Escherichia coli
Lineage: Bacteria; Pseudomonadati; Pseudomonadota; Gammaproteobacteria; Enterobacterales; Enterobacteriaceae
Description: partial 23S ribosomal RNA
Rfam family: Bacterial large subunit ribosomal RNA
Source: RNAcentral